This 728-nucleotide ribosomal RNA is filed under the name Escherichia coli. RNAcentral's name for it is "bacterial SSU rRNA". It matches the Rfam family "Bacterial small subunit ribosomal RNA", at positions 1 to 716 of the family's 1533-position model. The record is from RNAcentral. Lineage: Bacteria; Pseudomonadati; Pseudomonadota; Gammaproteobacteria; Enterobacterales; Enterobacteriaceae.
UUAAAUUGAAGAGUUUGAUCAUGGCUCAGAUUGAACGCUGGCGGCAGGCCUAACACAUGCAAGUCGAACGGUAACAGGAAGCAGCUUGCUGCUUCGCUGACGAGUGGCGGACGGGUGAGUAAUGUCUGGGAAACUGCCUGAUGGAGGGGGAUAACUACUGGAAACGGUAGCUAAUACCGCAUAAUGUCGCAAGACCAAAGAGGGGGACCUUCGGGCCUCUUGCCAUCGGAUGUGCCCAGAUGGGAUUAGCUUGUUGGUGGGGUAACGGCUCACCAAGGCGACGAUCCCUAGCUGGUCUGAGAGGAUGACCAGCCACACUGGAACUGAGACACGGUCCAGACUCCUACGGGAGGCAGCAGUGGGGAAUAUUGCACAAUGGGCGCAAGCCUGAUGCAGCCAUGCCGCGUGUAUGAAGAAGGCCUUCGGGUUGUAAAGUACUUUCAGCGGGGAGGAAGGGAGUAAAGUUAAUACCUUUGCUCAUUGACGUUACCCGCAGAAGAAGCACCGGCUAACUCCGUGCCAGCAGCCGCGGUAAUACGGAGGGUGCAAGCGUUAAUCGGAAUUACUGGGCGUAAAGCGCACGCAGGCGGUUUGUUAAGUCAGAUGUGAAAUCCCCGGGCUCAACCUGGGAACUGCAUCUGAUACUGGCAAGCUUGAGUCUCGUAGAGGGGGGUAGAAUUCCAGGUGUAGCGGUGAAAUGCGUAGAGAUCUGGAGGAAUACCGGUGGC